This 409-nucleotide ribosomal RNA is filed under the name uncultured bacterium. RNAcentral describes it as "partial 16S ribosomal RNA". It matches the Rfam family "Bacterial small subunit ribosomal RNA", at positions 355 to 776 of the family's 1533-position model. The record is from RNAcentral.
UGGGGAAUAUUGGGCAAUGGAGGGAACUCUGACCCAGCGACGCCGCGUGCGGGAUGAAGGCCUUCGGGUUGUAAACCGCUUUCAGCAGGGAAGAAGCGAAAGUGACGGUACCUGCAGAAGAAGCACCGGCUAACUAUGUGCCAGCAGCCGCGGUAAUACAUAGGGUGCAAGCGUUGUCCGGAAUUAUUGGGCGUAAAGAGCUCGUAGGUGGCUUGGUAAGCGUGUGGUGAAAGCCCGGGGCUCAACCCCGGGUCUGCCGUGCGAACUGCCUGGCUUGAGCGUAGUAGAGGCAGGUGGAAUUUCGGGUGUAGCGGUGAAAUGCGUAGAUAUCUGGAGGAACAUCAGUGGCGAAAGCGACUUCCUGGUCCAACAUUGACAUUCAGGUGCGAAAGCGUGGGGAGCAAACAGG